AAAUUGAAGAGUUUGAUCAUGGCUCAGAUUGAACGCUGGCGGCAGGCCUAACACAUGCAAGUCGAACGGUAACAGGAAGCAGCUUGCUCUUCGCUGACGAGUGGCGGACGGGUGAGUAAUGUCUGGGAAGCUGCCUGAUGGAGGGGGAUAACUACUGGAAACGGUAGCUAAUACCGCAUAAUGUCGCAAGACCAAAGAGGGGGACCUUCGGGCCUCUUGCCAUCGGAUGUGCCCAGAUGGGAUUAGCUUGUUGGUGGGGUAACGGCUCACCUAGGCGACGAUCCCUAGCUGGUCUGAGAGGAUGACCAGCCACACUGGAACUGAGACACGGUCCAGACUCCUACGGGAGGCAGCAGUGGGGAAUAUUGCACAAUGGGCGCAAGCCUGAUGCAGCCAUGCCGCGUGUAUGAAGAAGGCCUUCGGGUUGUAAAGUACUUUCAGCGGGGAGGAAGGGAGUAAAGUUAAUACCUUUGCUCAUUGACGUUACCCGCAGAAGAAGCACCGGCUAACUCCGUGCCAGCAGCCGCGGUAAUACGGAGGGUGCAAGCGUUAAUCGGAAUUACUGGGCGUAAAGCGCACGCAGGCGGUUUGUUAAGUCAGAUGUGAAAUCCCCGGGCUCAACCUGGGAACUGCAUCUGAUACUGGCAAGCUUGAGUCUCGUAGAGGGGGGUAGAA
RNAcentral lists this ribosomal RNA (675 nucleotides) under Escherichia coli. Its description in RNAcentral is "bacterial SSU rRNA". It matches the Rfam family "Bacterial small subunit ribosomal RNA", at positions 1 to 666 of the family's 1533-position model. Lineage: Bacteria; Pseudomonadati; Pseudomonadota; Gammaproteobacteria; Enterobacterales; Enterobacteriaceae. The record is from RNAcentral.